RNAcentral lists this ribosomal RNA (497 nucleotides) under uncultured bacterium. RNAcentral describes it as "partial 16S ribosomal RNA". It matches the Rfam family "Bacterial small subunit ribosomal RNA", at positions 28 to 507 of the family's 1533-position model. The record is from RNAcentral.
GAUGAACGCUGGCGGCGUGCCUAAUACAUGCAAGUCGAGCGAACAGACGAGGAGCUUGCUCCUCUGACGUUAGCGGCGGACGGGUGAGUAACACGUGGAUAACCUACCUAUAAGACUGGGAUAACUUCGGGAAACCGGGGCUAAUACCGGAUAAUAUAUUGAACCGUAUGGUUCAAUAGUGAAAGACGGUUUAGCUGUCACUUAUAGAUGGAUCCGCGCCGCAUUAGCUAGUUGGUAAGGUAACGGCUUACCAAGGCAACGAUGCGUAGCCGACCUGAGAGGGUGAUCGGCCACACUGGAACUGAGACACGGUCCAGACUCCUACGGGAGGCAGCAGUAGGGAAUCUUCCGCAAUGGGCGAAAGCCUGACGGAGCAACGCCGCGUGAGUGAUGAAGGUCUUCGGAUCGUAAAACUCUGUUAUUAGGGAAGAACAAAUGUGUAAGUAACUAUGCACGUCUUGACGGUACCUAAUCAGAAAGCCACGGCUAACUACGUG